RNAcentral lists this ribosomal RNA (90 nucleotides) under uncultured fungus. RNAcentral's name for it is "partial 18S small subunit ribosomal RNA". The record is from RNAcentral. Lineage: Eukaryota; Fungi.
GACAAUAAAUAACAAUAUAGGGCCCUUUCGGGUCUUAUAAUUGGGAGUGAGUACCAAUUUAAAUCCGUUAACGAGGGAACAAUUGGAGGG